GAUGAACGCUGGCGGCGUGCCUAAUACAUGCAAGUCGAGCGAACAGACGAGGAGCUUGCUCCUCUGACGUUAGCGGCGGACGGGUGAGUAACACGUGGAUAACCUACCUAUAAGACUGGGAUAACUUCGGGAAACCGGAGCUAAUACCGGAUAAUAUAUUGAACCGCAUGGUUCAAUAGUGAAAGACGGUUUUGCUGUCACUUAUAGAUGGAUCCGCGCCGCAUUAGCUAGUUGGUAAGGUAACGGCUUACCAAGGCAACGAUGCGUAGCCGACCUGAGAGGGUGAUCGGCCACACUGGAACUGAGACACGGUCCAGACUCCUGCGGGAGGCAGCAGUAGGGUAUCUUCCGCAAUGGGCGAAAGCCUGACGGAGCAACGCCGCGUGAGUGAUGAAGGUCUUCGGAUCGUAAAACUCUGUUAUUAGGGAAGAACAAAUGUGUAAGUAACUAUGCACGUCUUGACGGUACCUAAUCAGAAAGCCACGGCUAACUACGUG
RNAcentral lists this ribosomal RNA (497 nucleotides) under uncultured bacterium. RNAcentral's name for it is "partial 16S ribosomal RNA". It matches the Rfam family "Bacterial small subunit ribosomal RNA", at positions 28 to 507 of the family's 1533-position model. The record is from RNAcentral.